RNAcentral lists this long non-coding RNA (7954 nucleotides) under Lactuca sativa (garden lettuce). RNAcentral describes it as "long non-coding RNA (LSAT_LNC010242)". Lineage: Eukaryota; Viridiplantae; Streptophyta; Magnoliopsida; Asterales; Asteraceae. The record is from RNAcentral.
UUCAAGUGGAACCAAGAAAGGUUUCGUUACUCCUUCUUCUGACCCAAAAGAGGCUGAAUGCUUCUAUUGCCAUGAAAAAGCUCAUUGGAAGCGGAACUGCCCAAAAUACCAGCAAGAUGUGAAGGAUGGGAAAGUUAAACCCAACCAUGCAGGUAUUUACACUAUCAUUUCUAAUAACUCACCCCAUUCUAAUUCUUGGGUCCUUGAUACCGGGUGUGGUAUUCACAUUUGUUGUGACUUGCAGGGACUAAGAAGAAGUGAGGAUGUGGAGCAAGGAAGGAUAAACUUGAUCAUGGGGAAUAGGAAAGCUAUACCUGUUACCAAGAUUGGAGUUUAUACUUUAUCGCUAAGUAGUGGGUUUAGUUUAGAUUUGAAUAAGUGUUGUUAUUCGCCAGGAAUGGCAAGAAAUAUUAUUUCCUUUCAUGCUUUGUACAAACAAGGGUUUACCUUUUCAUUUAAUAAUGAAGUUGGUUCUAUAGAUGUUUUCUAUAAUAAUGUCUUUUAUUUUAAAGCAUUACCUUGUGAUGGUGUGUAUGAAGCUGUAUCUGUUGUAGAUAACUUGGGAAAUAAUGUUUUGUGUAUUGAUUCUACUAAUAAUAACUUGGAUAAAGCAUCUUUAUGGCAUUGUCGUCUUGGACAUAUAAGCAAGAAACGCAUAGGCCAACUCCAAAAGGAUGGAGUCUUGGAGUCGUUUGACCUAAAGUCAGAUGAUAGUUGCGAAUCAUGCUUACUUGGAAAAAUGACAAAGUCACCCUUCACAGGUUCGUGUGAGAGGGGUGAAGGUUUGUUGGACCUUAUACACACGGAUGUGUGUGGACCAUUCAAACAUGCCACAAGGGAUGCUAAUCGUUAUUAUUUGACUUUUACUGAUGAUUAUAGUAGAUAUGGAUAUGUCUACUUGAUCAAGCAUAAGUCAGAGACUUUCGAGAGGUUUAAGGAAUUUAAACAGGAAGUCGAGAAUCAAUUGGGCAGGAACAUUAAGAUGCUUCGAUCCGAUCGUGGUGGUGAGUAUCUUAGUUCAGAGUUCCUCGACUAUCUAAGGGAAUGUGGGAUAGUCUCACAAUUGACACCUCCCAGGACACCACAGUUGAAUGGUGUGGCUGAGAGGCGUAAUCGAACCUUGUUAGAUAUGGUUCGUUCCAUGAUGAGUCGAGCUACGCUACCAAUCUCAUUCUGGGGGUAUGCCUUAGAGACUGCCGCCCAUAUUCUUAAUCUAGUCCCUACAAAGAAAGUUGCCAAAACUCCUCACGAGAUGUGGACUGGUAAAGUACCUAAACUAGACCACAUCAAGAUUUGGGGUUGCGAGGCUUUCGUGAGACGCGAGACUCAUGAUAAGCUCGAACCUCGAAGCGAGAGGUGUAUUUUCAUCGGUUACCCACAGCGAUCCUUUGGUUACCUCUUCUACAGACCUAGUGACAAUGUGGUCUUUGUAGCAAGAAGAGGAGUCUUUCGAGAAAGAGAGUUUAUAAGCCAAGGAGACAGUGGGAGGCAAAUUGAUCUUGAAGAAAUUCAAGAAUCAAGCGGUGAAGGAACUUCAAACUCUAGCCCUCAACUUGAGGAGGAAACUCCUGUUGAGCCAAUUGACAAAUCUGUACCUCUGAGACGUUCCACGAGAGUUAGGAGUGCACCUGAGCAUUACUAUGGAUUCCAUAUUACUGCAGAAGGUGAGACACUUAUUAGUGAUGAGACACUAGUAAGUCAAGAUGACCCUAACAGCUACGAGGAAGCCAUGGCAGGCCCCGAGUCUGCUAAAUGGAAAGAGGCUAUGGAUAGCGAGAUACAAUCCAUGUAUGACAAUCAAGUUUGGAACUUGGUUGAAAAUGUACCAGGUCGUAAGACAGUAGGGUGCAAAUGGGUCUUCAAGAAGAAGACCGACAUGGAUGGUAAAGUACACACUUAUAAGGCUAGACUGGUUGCAAAGGGCUUCUCUCAAAUUCCUGGAGUGGAUUAUGAUGAGACCUUUUCUCCGGUAGCCAAGAUUAAGUCUAUUCGGGUUCUGUUAGCCAUAGCUGCAUUUCAUGACUAUGAAAUAUGGCAGAUGGAUGUCAAAACCGCUUUCCUUAAUGGAAAGUUGGCUGAAGAUGUUUACAUGAGUCAGCCAGAGGGUUUUGUCAGCAACGAGUACCCUAAUAGAGUGUGUAAGCUUGAGAAAUCCAUUUAUGGAUUGAAGCAAGCACCUCGCAGAUGGAAUCUUUGCUUUGAUGAAAAGGUCAAGGAAUUUGGCUUUUCUAGGAGUGAAGAUGAAUCUUGUGUGUAUGUCAAGGCUAGUGGGAGUAUAGUUAGCUUUUUGGUAUUGUAUGUGGAUGACAUACUACUCAUAGGAAACGACAUUCCAACCCUGCAGGAAGUAAAGUCCUGGCUUGGGAAGUGUUUCGCUAUGAAGGACCUUGGUGAAGCUGCCUAUAUUCUAGGGAUAAGAAUCUUGAGAGAUCGGAGUAAAAGACUAAUUGGACUUAGUCAGAGUACCUACUUGGAUAAGGUGCUGAAGAGAUUCAGCAUGCAGGAUUCCAAGAAAGGAGAGUUACCCAUCCAGAGUAACACCAGAUUGAGUAAGACACAAAGCCCUAGCACUGAGGCUGAGAUAGCAGAAAUGAGUCGAACACCUUACGCUUCGGCUGUAGGAUCGAUCAUGUAUGCUAUGACGUGUACUCGACCCGAUGUAGCUUUUGCCUUGAGCAUGGUUAGCAGGUAUCAGGCGAACCCUGGCAAGGCACACUGGACUGCGGUAAAGAAUAUCCUCAAGUACCUACGGAGGACUAAGGACUGGGUCCUUACCCUCGGUGGGAGUGAUGACUUGAGAGUUGUAGGGUAUAGUGAUGCUAGCUUCCAGACUGAUAGGGAUAAUUUCCGCUCUCAGUCGGGCUGGGUCUUUACCCUAAACGGAGGAGCAAUUUCUUGGAAGAGUUCCAAGCAAGAGACAGUGGCAGAUUCUACUUGUGAAUCAGAGUAUAUUGCAGCUAGUGAAGCAGCAAAGGAGGCGAUAUGGCUGAAGAACUUCAUUGGAGACCUUGGAGUUGUACCAGCUAUUAAAGAGCCAAUGGAAAUUUUCUGUGAUAGUGAAAGUGCUGUUGCCUUAGCCAAGGAACCAAGGGAUCAUGGGAGAUCCAGACACAUCGACAGAAAAUACCAUUUCAUUAGACAUCGGAUCGAAGAAGGACUCCUCGUGGCAAAGAGGGUAUCAUCGGAUGAGAACCCAGCAGAUCCCCUCACGAAGGGACUGAGUAGGGUUAAGCAUCUCCAGCAUGCUCGGAGCAUAGGGCUGAAGGAUGAUAUAAGUUUUAGUAGUUAGAUAACCCAGAAAUUUGUAAAGUGUAAUUGACAUUUGAUGAUGAAUAAAAGGUGUUUUAUUUAUGAGUAAAGUGUUGCUAUCUCUUGUCGAUCGUUUACUAUAUUUCUUUUGCAUGUUUUGACUUCCAGAAUAAUUUUGUUUGGUAUAACAUAUUAUUCAAACCUCCACAGUCGGUCAUAUGUUGGAAGUAGAUAUGAAUCAAGACUGUCAUGUUUGGUUGUAGAGGUCUUGGACAAGGCUACAACAAUCAUGAGUGCUCAUAAGUUCUGAGCAUUGGACUCAACCCACGCUCACUGGAAUCACUUCAUGGAAUUCUAUCUCGAGUGAUCGUGAGACGGUAAUAUCAUAUAAGUCUUCAAACCUAGAGAUAUGAUUUGUUACUUACAAGUUGGUUAUGCAUUGACUGUACGAAACCGCAUUGGUAACUCGAUGUUAUAAAACGUACUUUUGUGUGUAAUUCAAUGAGUGGUAGAACAAACAUAUGAGUCGAAGUUUAUCUGUUCCUUCUUGGAUUAGAAGCUGAUAUCUGGGCCCCUCGAUGAUUUUGUUUUGACCCAUGUACCGGGCCCGGUCAGAACUAAGUUGAUGUGUUCAAUUAAGUUCUAUGUCAAACAAAUCGGAAAUCGGGAAACAAAUGCUGGACAAUAAGCAAGACAAUGUUCCAUGUAUUUGUCCGGCUGAUAUCUAGAACGGAGGAUUAUAUGAUCACUUAUCUUAAAUGGCGUACCAUCAUCUUCUCAGUUCCGAGAGACCUUGAAAGAGCUACGAUUGCCGGUCGGUUCCUGAAGUACUAGAGAUAUAGUUAUUAGACUUAUCCAAGUGGGAGACUGUUGGAUAAGGUGUCUAAGUCCAUAACUAUUUCGGGCUUGUACUUGACCCGACCCGGCAUGGUCCAUUUGGGUUGCAUGGCACCAUGCAAUUGGAUAGACUAAAUGAGAGAAAUAACACUUGGAGAUUAUUAAUAUAUUAUAAGUUCUAAUAUAUUAAUAAUAUUAUUUGAUUAGUUGAUCAAAGAAUUAAUUUGGAAUUAAUUAAGUGAUCAAAGGAUAACUAAUUAAAUAUAUGGGUUGAUUAUGUAAAUCAUCCAUAUCUUGUAUAGUGGGCUAAGAGGCUCCAUGGAUUAUCAAGUUGGGUUCUACCCAUAGGAUGCUCCAUGGAUGCUCCAUGGGAGUUACAAACCCAUGGGUCAUGGAAAUGAAGAGUCAUGACACAUUAGGGUUUACAUGGUGUAACCCUAGAUGUGCCAACACUAUAUAAGAGUCCCAUUCUCCACAAAAUUGGCUACACAAGUUGAACACUAAGAAACUAGAGGGCUUGGCCGAUUUUGAGAAGUGUGUGUUAUCUCAAGAGUCUUUCCAAGAGCAUUUGGUGUUGUGUGAAGCAUUUGAGGCAUCACACUUGGGGUGCUAGGCUCACAAGGUUUCAAGGAACACAAGCAACAACAAGGUAAGUUAUUCUAUCUAUGAUUCAAGUUAAAAUUGUUCCCCAUGUAUGCUAGAUAGGAAUAUAACCUUGGAAUUCAACUUUGCAUGAUAAUUAGACAAACAUAGAUCCAAGGUUAUUAGGGUUGCAUGUACACUUAGGAAGUGUUAGAAUGCUCAAAACCCAUCAGUGGUAUCAGAGCCUAGGCUUGUUUGUUUGUUAUUUGUGCUUAAAAGUUGAAGAAAGUCGAAAAUUCUGCUGUCUGACUGAUGGACUCGGCGAGUCCAUGGGGAGGACUCGUCGAGUUCAUGUGUAUCUUCAACCUACUCGGCGAGUAGGUUUAUGCACUCGGCGAGUAGGGUCGACAGAGUGCAGAAUUUCGACUUGAGUUGCUGGAAAUGGAUUAGAAUCAUUACCCUAAAAUGUUUUGGUACUUGAAAACUUAUUUUAGAAGGUGUAAUGUCUUUUCUAACUCAUUUACAACAACUAGUUAUCAAAAUUACAAAGAUUAAAUGUGAUUUUGAUUCUUGAAAGUGUUCAUAUUCAUAUUCUUGUUCUUAUGAUGUUUAGAUGAUCAUAGGAAUUAUUUGUAACCUAUGUGGUAGAUUAAUUCAUGAUCAUAAUGUGUUUUAAUGGAGUCCAUAACUUGUCCUCAAGUUAUGGAAAACCAAAAGUCUCUUGGAUUAAAAACCAUUAAAAGAACACAAGAGUUAGGAAAAAUGAAAAGUCCUCAUUUUAUUACUCUAUUAAACUCAUAAGUUACAAGAAAUGAAAAGUUUUGAAAGUUUACAAAACUUGCCCUCAAGUUUUGGAACAAGUAAAGUUAAGUUAAAACUUUAGUUCCAACCCCUAGAAUUUUAAAAGUUAAAAUUCAACCCUUAUACUUAUAUUAUUAUGAUUUAAUAAUUAUAUAUAUAUGUAUAAGAACAAAGUCGUCUUACCGCUAGUACGCCUCAUUCACGAAGCCGGUCUAUAAGGUGGGUAUAAGGUUGUUGCCUAUAAAAUGGUGACUUAAUGGGUGUCCACUCUCACCCACCGCUUGCUUGAUCGGUGGAGGGUCGUUAGCCGAACGGGUAAGACAAGGACUUAUUAAUUCUCAUUCAAAGUAUGAUGAAUAUUAUAAAGUAACUAAAUGUUUUAUUAAAUUCCCAAUCUUAGUUACUUUAGGAAAAAUGUGAAUAAGGUGCUAUUCCAUGAAAUUACACUUUACACUUUGAUUAAGUCGUUGGUGGAGCGUGUGUGGUUAACCGGCACACUAACUUGGACUUAACAAGGUAGGUAAAGGGUGACUUAGGGUUUAUUAUAGUAUCGAUGGAGCGUGUGUGGUUAACCGGCACAUCGAUUGAGUGAUAAACUUUAAGGGUACCAAGUGAUUUGCAUGGUUACUUCACACCUCGUUUUGUGAUCCUCGGUAUCCCAGUCACAAAACUUGGAGGGCACACUCGAGAUUGAAACAUGCCUUUGAAAAGUUCAUUGAAUCUCAAAGAAUCUAGGAAUUUCUAAGAACCAUUCAAAAACCUAAUACUAAAAUAUUGCGGUUUUCGUGGUGGAAAUUGGUGAAUCGUCAUUCACCUACCUUUCAAAUAUGAUAUAGCUUAGAUUACGGCAUACCUCUUCUAAGUUAUAUUAUAUUGUGAUUGGAUCCUAGCCUUAAUAUUACAUUUGGGUGUUUUAUUAAGGACUCUCUUAUAUCUAAACUAAUCUUGUCCUCUUUCCUUCAGAUGUCUUUCAACAAUGCUUCUGGCUCUAAUCCUAAUGGCUCCUUUACCCUUAUGAACUUGUGUGGGAAAGUCACCUUUGAUGGAUCCAACUUCAAUGAGUGGAUCAGAAACAUCAGGAUGAUUACCCGCUACGAGGACAAAGAAUAUGUCCUUGACAAGGAGCUUAAGGAGAUUGAUGAGUCCACUGCAACUCCUCAGGAGAUCGCUGAAUUUCGGGCACAUGAAAGGGAUGCUACGAAAGUGGCUUGCAUCAUGAUGGCCACGAUGACAGCGGAACUCCAAAAGUCUUAUGAGGAUUUCUACCCUUAUGACAUGCACCAAGAUUUGAUGGAAAGAUACCAUCAAAGUGCAAGACAAGAGAGGUAUGAAAUCAUCUGCUCCAUGAUAACAACCAUGAUGAAGGACGGGGAAUCCGUCACGAGCCACAUGCAGAAAAUGCAAAGGUAUGUGGAUCGUUUGCUGAAGCUUAAUGUGAACUUCCCGGAGGAUCUUGCAAUAGAUAUUAUUUUGCAUUCCUUACCAUCGUGCUAUGAUCAAUUCCGCAUGACAUAUCACAUGAACAAGGAAGAAGUCACCCUCAGCAAACUUCAGGGACUUCUCAAGACCGCAGAAACAGGUCUUAAGGGGAAGUCGGUUGCUAUCACUCCUACUCAAAACUCUACUCCGGUUUUGGCAAUCGGGAAAAGUCGAGGGAGGAAGAGAAAGAGCUCUUCUAAGGGUACCAAGGCUCGGACCCUUGAUGGCUCUUCUUCAAGUGGAACCAAGAAAGGUUUCGUUACUCCUUCUUCUGACCCAAAAGAGGCUGAAUGCUUCUAUUGCCAUGAAAAAGCUCAUUGGAAGCGGAACUGCCCAAAAUACCAGCAAGAUGUGAAGGAUGGGAAAGUUAAACCCAACCAUGCAGGUAUUUACACUAUCAUUUCUAAUAACUCACCCCAUUCUAAUUCUUGGGUCCUUGAUACCGGGUGUGGUAUUCACAUUUGUUGUGACUUGCAGGGACUAAGAAGAAGUGAGGAUGUGGAGCAAGGAAGGAUAAACUUGAUCAUGGGGAAUAGGAAAGCUAUACCUGUUACCAAGAUUGGAGUUUAUACUUUAUCGCUAAGUAGUGGGUUUAGUUUAGAUUUGAAUAAGUGUUGUUAUUCGCCAGGAAUGGCAAGAAAUAUUAUUUCCUUUCAUGCUUUGUACAAACAAGGGUUUACCUUUUCAUUUAAUAAUGAAGUUGGUUCUAUAGAAGUUUUCUAUAAUAAUGUCUUUUAUUUUAAAGCAUUACCUUGUGAUGGUGUGUAUGAAGCUGUAUCUGUUGUAGAUAACUUGGGAAAUAAUGUUUUGUGUAUUGAUUCUACUAAUGAUAACUUGGAUAAAGCAUCAUUAUGGCAUUGUCGUCUUGGACAUAUAAGCAAGAAACGCAUAGGCCAACUCCAAAAAGAUGGAGUCUUGGAGUCGUUUGACCUAAAGUCAGAUGAUAGUUGCGAAUCAUGCUUACUUGGAAAAAUGACAAAGUCACCCUUCACAGGUUCGGAUUGGC